UGGCAUUUGAGCCCGAAACCUGCAAACCCGCUCGAAACCCGCACGGAAAAAGCCCGCACGAACCCGUCCAAUUAUUAAUUCGGGCUGAGAAAAGCCCGCACGCCAAAAACCCGUAAAUUAACGGGCCGGGUCGUGCUAAACCCGUUAGGCCCGUUGGAACCCGUUAAGUAAUUUCUGAAAAUUAAAACCCUUUCUACUCUGCUGAAAGAAAGCGAUCCAUGACAGACUCUUUGCCGUGCUCUCUGCCUCUCUCGUAGAGUCCAUGACUGCAUCUCUCUCUUCUUCAUCCAAACCCACAAUUUCAGAGCGAGAGAGAUCUGAGCUGGGAUUGGGUUCUGAAGUGCUUAUUGGGAUUUGGGUGGAAACAAGGUAGUGAAGAUGAGUACAAAUGAUGAGUCCCAAUUUAUAUCUACGGAGGAAAGAGGAGAAGAUGUAAUAGGAAAUGUACUAAGAGAUGAUUUGCCUUCUAGAAGAAAGAAGAGGAAGAAGAGUUCUCAAUGUUGGUUGUCUUCUAAAUAUGUAUUUUAUUUAGUACAUUAAAUAUGUAUUUCGAACCUAUUUCAAUCUUUGUAGCUACUAUUAUCAUUGAUGCUAUUUCAUCAAAGAAUGAAUCAAAAAAAAUUAUAUA
Molecule: long non-coding RNA, 628 nt
Organism: Rosa rugosa (rugosa rose)
Lineage: Eukaryota; Viridiplantae; Streptophyta; Magnoliopsida; Rosales; Rosaceae
Exons: 2
Source: RefSeq, a predicted model, not a curated record